AGCAGCCGCGGUAAUUCCAGCUCCAAUAGCGUAUAUUAAAGUUGUUGCAGUUAAAAAGCUCGUAGUUGAAUUUCGGGGUCUGUCCAUUGGUCGGGCUUCACGGUCCGUACUGGUGAGAUGGGUUCCUACCUUCUGAAUAACCAGCAUGCCAUUUAGUUGGUGCGCUGGGGAAGCAGAGCUAUUACCUUGAAAAAAUUGAGUGCUUAAAGCAGGCUAGUGCUUGAAUAGAUUAGCAUGGAAUAAUAAAAUAGGACGGCAUGGUUCUAUUUUGUUGGUUUCUAGGAUCACCGUAAUGAUUAAUAGGGAUAGUUGGGGGCAUUAGGUAUUCAAUUGUCAGAGGUGGAAUUCUUGGAUUUAUUGAAGACUAACUUCUGCGAAAGCAUUUGCCAAGGAUGUUUUCAUUAAUCAAGAACGAAAGUUAGGGGAUCGAAGACGAUCAGAUACCGUCGUAGUCUUAACCAUAAACUAUGCCGACUAGGGACUCGGACGAUGUUUAAUUUUUUAAUGUAACUUCGUUUCG
RNAcentral lists this ribosomal RNA (520 nucleotides) under uncultured Glomus. Its description in RNAcentral is "SSU rRNA". It matches the Rfam family "Eukaryotic small subunit ribosomal RNA", at positions 569 to 1081 of the family's 1831-position model. The record is from RNAcentral. Lineage: Eukaryota; Fungi; Glomeromycota; Glomeromycetes; Glomerales; Glomeraceae.